RNAcentral lists this transfer RNA (26 nucleotides) under Agama boulengeri. RNAcentral describes it as "partial tRNA-Leu". Lineage: Eukaryota; Metazoa; Chordata; Lepidosauria; Squamata; Agamidae. The record is from RNAcentral.
ACUUUUAUUGGACAGCAGCCGUCCGA